GACGAACGCUGGCGGCGUGCUUAACACAUGCAAGUCGAACGGGAUUUAGUAGACAGAAGCCUCGGCUAAAGAUUACUAAUGAGAGUGGCGAACGGGUGAGUAACGCGUGAGCAACCUGCCUAUGACAGUGGGAUAGCCUCGGGAAACCGGGAUUAAUACCGCAUAAAAUCGUAGAAACACAUGUUUUAACGGUCAAAGAUUUAUCGGUCAUAGAUGGGCUCGCGUCUGAUUAGCUAGUUGGUGAGAUAACAGCCCACCAAGGCGACGAUCAGUAGCCGGUCGGAGAGGAUGAACGGCCACAUUGGAACUGAGACACGGUCCAAACUCCUACGGGAGGCAGCAGUGGGGAAUAUUGCACAAUGGGGGAAACCCUGAUGCAGCGACGCCGCGUGAACGAAGAAGGUAUUCGUAUCGUAAAGUUCUGUCCUAUGGGAAGAUAAUGACAGUACCAUAGAAGAAAGCACCGGCUAAAUACGUG
RNAcentral lists this ribosomal RNA (478 nucleotides) under uncultured bacterium. RNAcentral's name for it is "partial 16S ribosomal RNA". It matches the Rfam family "Bacterial small subunit ribosomal RNA", at positions 28 to 507 of the family's 1533-position model. The record is from RNAcentral.